CUGAUGGCACAAACUCUGGAGUACCAAGGAGUAUGUCACAGGUCGAACCUUGGACUGUUUCGCCCACGUGACCAUUUUGCUGACGUCACCAAAAAGUCACGACUGUCGCGGCGCUCUUUUUUCAUUCGCUGUUCGUUUAGAGCACGACCUUCUGUAUAAACUAUAAGUUUAUAUAGAAGGUCGUGGCUUCGAGUUGAGACGGGGAACACCGUCGAGACAAGCCGGCGCGUGGUGAAAAAAACUGGGAUCAUGGCUGAAGAAGUGGCAUGAAGUGUCUGAAAAAGCCUUGAAUGUCAAGAUUCCUUCCUCCGUGGAACAUACUAAAGUCGGAAAAAAAACACGUUUCGGGUCGCGUGUUUGACAACCGUAUGCUGGAGUACGCGCGCAAGGGAGACGCCCAUGUCGUCUGCUACAGCGCUAAUUGGCAGCGGCUACCAUAAACGUCAUUUCCGCUUAGAAGUGUGGCAGUUUGGGCCAAGGAGGUUAUACUAGAACUUCUGGAGUGGCGGUCCCGCAUACCCGCCCAUGUAUCGGAGUGAAGCCGCGGAAACCCGUCGGCGGCCAUAUUGCUCAGGGCAGAAGGAGGCGGCGACUGCCUUGUGCCGCCGUUGUGCCCCGUACGCUUGCAGCCGUGCCUUCUGUAAUAGCAAUGAAAGGGCCGCUUUAUUUUUCUUAGGACGCGAGGGAACUUUGAAAUGACUAAUAUACAUCCUAUUUAUUUUUUUCUUGACACUUACACUGAGAGUUAAAGAUGAUGCGAUAGGAUAUCAGUUUGUAUUAUAUGUUUACACUGUUGUCUCACGGCAGAAGUACCGCUCGAGAAGAUGCAACGAAAAUAAAAUUUAAGAGCGGGAGAAGUUGUAGAAUGCUAGCUGGAGACGAAAACAAAAAUAUGAAACCAAUAACGCAAUAAAGGAAACUGAAGGUUCACGGUA
Molecule: long non-coding RNA, 935 nt
Organism: Rhipicephalus microplus (southern cattle tick)
Lineage: Eukaryota; Metazoa; Arthropoda; Arachnida; Ixodida; Ixodidae
Source: RefSeq, a predicted model, not a curated record